Molecule: non-coding RNA, 31 nt
Filed under: Rattus norvegicus (Norway rat)
Lineage: Eukaryota; Metazoa; Chordata; Mammalia; Rodentia; Muridae
Source: RNAcentral
UACAAUAAUGUCUAAGAUGAAUUAGCCCGCC